Molecule: ribosomal RNA, 1368 nt
Filed under: Bolitophila hybrida
Lineage: Eukaryota; Metazoa; Arthropoda; Insecta; Diptera; Mycetophilidae
Description: partial 28S ribosomal RNA
Rfam family: Eukaryotic large subunit ribosomal RNA
Source: RNAcentral
AAACUGCAUAGGGGUUAAGCCCGAUGAACCUGAAUAUCUGAACUGGGAAAUUCAAUGCUAUUUAGUAAUUUAUCUAAACAAUAAACGAACGAUGGUAUGCACUUCUCUCAUAGUAGGACAUUGCGAUCCAUUAGUGAUUCUUUUUAGAUGGUUUAUCAAACGGCCCGUUUGGUUUGCUUAUUCUAUCUGUGGCACUUGUGUCAUAUGAAUAAUACCGAUCGGUGACCUGGUAAACAGCUGAUGGAGCUUAACAAUCAUGCAACCAUGCAUAUGUAUCACGGUCUAUAUAUUUAUAUGUAGAUGCAGUGAUAGCAUGUAUUUGAUUAGCAAUGCGAUAGAUUUGGGAUACCUUCGGGACCCGUCUUGAAACACGGACCAAGAAGUCUAACAUGUGUGCGAGUCAUUGGGUAUGUGUUGAAACCUAAAGGCGUAAUUAAAAUAACUAUUAUGGGAUUACAAGUAAUUUAAAAUAUUACUUCUCCAUCCCGGGGCGUUCUAUACGAACAUGGUUUAAGCAAUUAGACCCUCUGUUCAAGAGCGUACCUUGAGCAUACAUGCUGUGACCCGAAAGAUGGUGAACUAUACCUGAUCAGGUUGAAGUCAGGGGAAACCCUGAUGGAGGACUGAAGCAGUUCUGACGUGCAAAUCGAUUGUCAGAAUUGGGUAUAGGGGCGAAAGACCAAUCGAACCAUCUAGUAGCUGGUUCCCUCCGAAGUUUCCCUCAGGAUAGCUGGUGCAAUUAAAAUUCUAAUAUAUAAUCUUAUCUGGUAAAGCGAAUGAUUAGAGGCCUUGGGGCCGAAACGACCUCAACCUAUUCUCAAACUUUAAAUGGGUAAGAACCUCAUCUUUCUUGAUGUGAAGAUAUAGGGGUUUAGAUAUAUUGUGCCCAGUGGGCCACUUUUGGUAAGCAGAACUGGCGCUGUGGGAUGAACCAAACGCGAUGUUACGGCGCCUAAAUUUAUGACUCAUAUUGAUACCAUGAAAGGCGUUGGUUGCUUAAAACAGCAGGACGGUGGACAUGGAAGUCGUAAUCCGCUAAGGAGUGUGUAACAACUCACCUGCCGAAGCAACUAGCCCUUAAAAUGGAUGGCGCUCAAGUCAUAUGCCUAUACAUCGCCGCUAGAAUAAAGAGAUAUAAGGUUUACCUUAUAUUUUUGAAAUUCUAGUGAGUAGGAGGGUACAAUGGUGUGCGCAGAAGUGUUUGGCGUGAGCCUGCAUGGAGCCGCCAUUGGCACAGAUCUUGGUGGUAGUAGCAAAUAAUCGAAUGAGAUCUUGGAGGACUGAAGUGGAGAAGGGUUUCGUGUGAACAGUGGUUGAUCACGAGUUAGUCGGUCCUAAGCUCUAUGCGAAAGCUGUUUAAUUUAUGUU